Molecule: long non-coding RNA, 567 nt
Organism: Lactuca sativa (garden lettuce)
Lineage: Eukaryota; Viridiplantae; Streptophyta; Magnoliopsida; Asterales; Asteraceae
Source: RefSeq, a predicted model, not a curated record
UCCGGGUCUCACCAAAGUCAUCUUCAGUAAAAAUCUCCAAUCGACGACGCAAUCCAGCCUUCAAAUCGAUUUCUCCGAUUAAGGAAGUCAAACGAUUGUGACCUUCUGUACUGGCGAAGAAAUAACGACGAAGUCGGUGGGAGAAACGGGAAUUACGACUCCGUUUAAGGAACCCCGGAAGAGAAUUACAAGAAAAAGAAGGACAAAGUGCUUUGAUUUCGUUGUGAUGGGAAAUGGCAGGUCGGCCAUUGCUAUCGACGGAAGGAUAACGAGGAUUUCCUUCCCUUAACCCUGAGAAAUUCAAUGGUUGGAGGAUUUCCUUCCCUUUCUCUAGUAUCAAAGUUGAGUGGUGUAUCUAGGUGGAGCUGCUGAUCCUUCUUCCUGUUUUCUGGAGUUGGAGUUCUUGUCUCUGUUUGUUAGAGGUCCUGGCUAAGUUGGUUCCCUUGUUAUUCGCCAUUUUGUAACCCCUGGUGCUUCUAAGGUUUACUAGCAAUUGUAAUUUUCCUUUUUAAGUACUUUUUAUGUGUGGUAGAUUUGCAUAUGAUCUAUUUUUUUCUUACUUUUAAA